Brienomyrus brachyistius is the source of this 647-nucleotide long non-coding RNA. RefSeq lists it as uncharacterized. Lineage: Eukaryota; Metazoa; Chordata; Actinopteri; Osteoglossiformes; Mormyridae. The record is from RefSeq and is a predicted model, not a curated record. The transcript has 2 exons.
CGGGUGCGAGUGGGAUGUGAGCCGUGGAUGUGGGCGUACGCAGCUUCUUCUGCCCACAGGGCCUUCUCAACCUCUCCAAAUCUGGGCACAUGCAGCACUCCAGCACAGCAGUUCUCUGGUCAACAUGGGCUUCGUAUGACUCAAAGAAUGAUCCAGUUGGACUUCCUACCCGUGGCCCCAUCUGUAGCUGUUUUGGUUAAAACAGCAGGAUCAGGCUCUGGUGCUGAAGGCUGGGGGGUAGAGAGGGGCGUGGAGGAUGUUGUGCCCUCUGGGGCACCCCCAACUUCUGACCAGCCAAAUAUUUCAUCCAUAACCUGUGGAAACAAAGAUAGGUUUAAGUUCAGCAAAGUGACAUUAAGUGGAAAUUCUGUAGUAAUUGUUGGAAAAGUCAUACUGCAUGACCUAAUUAGUGGUGUACAGUUAAAAUGGCAUAAUGUUAACAUUAAUAUCAAGACUGGUAAACAUUAUUCUACUUAUUGUGUAAUAGUCCCAGUUGAUUCUUGCCUCUCCAGUGGUCUAACAUCUGUCUUUGACCCUUUUGUAGGUUGCCAAAAUGAAAUUUUCUUCCUUAUCUGCUCCACUGAUCAUUUGUGGUCCCUUUGUAACAUGUCUUUAUGGACUCUUUUAUAAAAAGCUUGUUUUGUAAA